UUUAUUGACUUUUGAAACGUAACAGCGCGAGAGCAGUCCGCGGACCACGUGACCACAUUCAUCGAUAUGUUUCGUUCGACGUGACGACGACAACUAUUAAUAUUUCGCUGAAGCCAUUCAAAGUACGUGUGUAUUUGCGUGUUCUUCGUGGAAUUGCGCUUUAUCCAUGCUUGUUUGUUAGCGAGAUAGUGCGGGGGACAAAGGAAAAGUGAGAAAUAUACCGUGCUGAAAAACUAAAACGCGAUACGAGCAAAGGAAUUUUUCAUUAAAUUUCAAUUCGUCGUUUUGCUGGCUGUUCGUUUCAAGCUGCGAUGGGUGGAGAAAUGAAAUUUCCGCGAGCAGGCAAAAGCUCGGAGAUGCUAAUCGUGACGGUCUACCGGAGCGCGACAGACUUCCCAGAAGUAGAAAACAAUGUGCUUGGCCAGAAGACGGAAACGAUGGAAGCACUUUGAAAAAUGAGAGCUCGUCUCGAACCUCUCAUCGAGCACGUACAUAUGACGUACAGAUGUAUGUACGAGCUUCCUCAUCGACCGCAAAAAGCCACUCCUCCAUGACGUCAAAAAGUCUUAUGGAAAAAGUAACGACCAGUAAUUUCUUCUUGGAAAAACAAUAACUCACAAAAUUAACCACUUUUCUAUAUGCGUUGGUCGUUCAAUAAACAAACGAAACAAAUUGCUACGUUUACUCACUCAUUCACAAAUUCACUCAUCUCAGCCGCAAAGUAGCACGAAUCAAACUUUAUUCGACGGUCGCUUCACCCAAAACUUCGCAGUGAUAAAACACCCGUAACGUCGGCCAUCGUGAAGGUCGUUGAAAGCUGCCGCAAGAUACGGGUAUUAAGAGAAAGGAACGAUACGGGUGCGCGUAAAAGAUCCGACGUCAAUGGAAUCGGAGCGGAAGGUUGGGAAACGGGGAAACUUCGCCAAGGAAAAGGAAUCUGUGUCCAAAGGGAAAUUACGUCGAGGGUUCGCGCCUCUAGGAGAAACAGCGAAACAGGAAGAAGAAGAAGGUGAAAGAGAAAGGUGUAGGAAGAAUAAAAAAUCGCAGAACGUAAAGUUGAACGAAGAAAUUUACCAAAGGCUUGGGAAGAAAGGGAAGCAAAUGGGAACGUAGAACAAAGCGACGUGGUUGGAUAAAAGGAGGCGGAAAGAGGAGGAAAGAUAUCGAAGGAUAGCAAACGGCGAGCACGACGGAAGAAAACAAACGCUCGUUAACGAGACGCAUCAGGGCAGAUUGAAGAGAUUUCCUGCCGCGGUUUAGCCAACCAACUCUCUCUUUCUACCUCUCUUUCUCUCGCUUCUGCCGCGUAGACCCCAACGACGACCGGGACCAGAGGUUAAUUUAUCGAAUUAAACGUCGUACAAUUGCGUUAUAAGUCCGAGUCACGGGGACUUUUUACCGCUGCGUACAUGUGUGUUAAUAUACGUGUGCCGUUCGUACGGUUCCUCGCGUUGGUCUUCGUCUUCGAGUCCGAACUGAUCGUGCUGUGAAUAGCUUUUAAAACAUAGAACCGAGAGGUCAAAGCGGGAAAUGCUAGAGGAAAUAUUUGACGACUCGGUUUCGUUCUACAGAAUCUCACGGAAUGGAAGUUAGUUAAGCAGAUAGAAGUUUCGUGGGAAUGUUUGUAUUCUUUUUGCAGAAUGCAAAGGAUCGACUAUGAUUCAUCCUGCGUAUACGAUAUAAGUAUUUUAUACGAUCAACGCAAAUAAUCCAAAAACUUUCUUUUUACAUGGAACUUUAAUUUUUGGAAAGAUAAGUCUGAUGACCGAUCGUACAUCUCUCUAGUCGCGUACUUGCGCAACUGUUAACGUUUACGCCAAUAACGUAAUAUACACUCAAUCAUGGACGGUAAGUCUUUAAGCACGAAGAUCGCGUAUCUUUUGAAAACGCAGAAAGCAUACUUGCAUAGCUACACCCUUUGCCAGCUACUCCAAUUGCAAAGUAACCAAAAGGGGCGCAAACAUCGAUUCGGUCGAUUCCUAAUCUAAUCUGAAGGUAGAACGUCGUGGACGAUCUUUAUUCAACGACGCCGGAAGUUACACAACCGCUCGACCGACGAACAGUCCGCAAGUUAUCGUCCAAUCAUAUUUUCCAAUCAUUUUCUCCAGGAAAAUGACAAAUUAUAGAACGAUCCCUUACCGUUGCCUCGAUCAAUGUUCUUCGCUUAUUUUUCGUAUCCUGACUUGCGCGUGCAAUACUCGUAACACGGAUGAAUGUACAUGACACACGGAUGAAUUAAAUAAAAGAUUUCAUUCGAUCAACGGCGUUUCCGCGAAUGCAUAAAGAAUAGGAAAUAAGAAUUUUCUACGUCGGAAGCGCACCUUUCGAAAUAAAACAGUACAGAGAAGAGAGGAAAGAUAGUAUGCGAAUAAUACGAGAACGAGGUGCGUAGUUGGAAGUCAAUCAGCAGAAUACGAGAGAGAUCCUUUGGUCGACGAGAGAUUAUAGGGCAAAAUGAGUUUGCAAACACGACCAGCCACGAUUCAAAGUCGCCAUGGAAUUUCUACAUCACAGAACAGCCAAUGAAAGCAUGGAACAAUGUGGGAUACGCUUCAAGGUUCAUCGAGGCGAACAGUCGACGAGAGGUCUCGAAAUCGGCGCGAUCAAGUGGCUCGCGAAGCCUGGUUCACGCUCGUGGCCACGUAAGCCGAUGUUCAAGCGGUCCAGCGUAGCCCACUGCAAAAGCCGAUUUCGCCGCUGAAUACGGCAAUAUCGAUCUCAAAAUUCCCGGUGCUACGUUGCACACUCGAGGCGUCGAUACAUAGCCAGCCUCACCCGGCCAGAUGUCGCGAGCCACAAUUUUGAAUAGCAUCGGAUCAAUGGAAAUCCCCCGUUUCUAUUUCUCCUCGGGGAUCGUACGGUGUCUAUGGUGUACACACGAUCCAUUCGCUCGGUCUAGGCUAUCCACAAUGGACGAUGGACGAGAAAAUUGGACGAUCGAUAGUCGUUCGGAUGUUCUCUGGGAAAGAUGUAUAAGAAGAUCGAACAUCGAGUCGAGCAUCGAGACGAGUGUAAAGAGAAGUAUCGGGGCGAGCAUCGACGAGAGCAUCGACGAGAGCAUCGACGAGAGCAUCGACGAGAGCAUCGACGAGAGCAUCGAUACGGCGAUUAAUUUAAAUAUAUAUUAGCCAAGGAAGGGUUUUCAUCGGCGAUAGCAGAUCAAAGGGAGAGCAGUGGCUUUGCUAGAAUCGAACGAUAGGUCGCGUGCAAUCAAGCGUACCUUAGCAAGAUGGCUUUGAUCUUGCAUCGAAUAUUCGACCAGAAUCGCUCACCUGACUUUGAGUUGCGGCGUUAAUGGAAUGUAUCGAAUUGAGUCGAUGUUCGAAACGACGGUGAAACUACCGGCUUCCGUGUUUCCAGAAAUGUACACAGGCAAUGGGAAACGUAAAGUCUUCUACAUUGCAACGAUAAACGGCGAAUAAUUCAAUGUUGGUUUACGUAAAACGAUCAGUAUUCCAUCUCGAGAUACGUAAACCUUGCUAUUAGCGAAGCUUGUAAUGCGAUUACGAAGGAAGCUCAGAGUAGAAAUUUCGCAACAAUAGAAGGAACAAUCGUAAAUUUCCUUAGAAAUUUCAAUUUCUUUCGCUACCUUUCAUUUCCGUGAAUUUCUUCUUUCGUUUGCAUCGUAUGCGUACGAAUUAUGUACAAUUAAAUUUGUUAGAGUUUUCCAAUAAGCGUAACGAAUACAACGUGAUAGAUACGUAACUUGGUUGCGAGUUACGUAUCGAAUGGUGUUUCUCUCGCGUGAAUUCUGCUUCGAUUAAGUAGCUUAAGAACUGGAAAAUCUCAUGGAUAAUUCAGUGGAAAAUAACCGAGAAUCUAGUGGCGAGAAAAAUCUUUACCUCGCAACGAGCAACGAGCUAGCGAACACGGCAAGCGUGAGAAAAAGAAUUUCCAAGUUGCGGCAAAAGUUUGCCAACCCCUCUAAUCUAGCCUUUCAUUAACGCCAAAUGAAUACAAAUGGCGAAAGCGUUUCGAAAGCCGCACGCGCGCAACACAGAAAGAGAAAGAAGGGGCGAGAGAAACGGAGAGAGAGCUUUCUCCAGCGUCGAUUCUACGAAAGCGAAUUUAACACGAAUUAAUCCAUUCACGUAUUGCGAAGCACGCCUUUAAUCACGUUCAUAGAAAUACCUUAAACCAACGAACGGACUAAAAUGAGAUUUAUAAGAUGAAAAGUCAGACCACAAACGUGGACAAGACGGAAAAACACUCUCGAAAUUAACACGUAGUACAAUAAAUAAAAAAAAAAAAAAAAAAAAAAUA
Long non-coding RNA from Bombus huntii, 4263 nucleotides. RefSeq lists it as uncharacterized. NCBI's taxonomy places the organism in Eukaryota, Metazoa, Arthropoda, Insecta, Hymenoptera, Apidae. The transcript has 2 exons. The record is from RefSeq and is a predicted model, not a curated record.